AUUGAACGCUGGCGGCAGGCCUAACACAUGCAAGUCGAACGAGUGGCGGAGGGGGCAGUAAUGUCUGGGAAACUGCCUGAGGGGGGGGGAUACUUCCGGGAAACGUUGCCUAAUACGCCUAACCUCAAGAUGUGCCCGGAUGGGUUUAGCUAGUUGGUGGGGUAACGGCUCACAAAGGCGAGGAUCCCUAGCUGGGCUGAGAGGAUGACCAGCCACACUGGAACUGAGACACGGUCCAGACUCCUACGGGAGGCAGCAGUGGGGAAUAUUGCACAAUGGGCGCAAGCCUGAUGCAGCCAUGCCGCGUGUAUGAAGAAGGCCUUCGGGUUGUAAAGUACCUUCAGCGGGGAGGCGUUACCCGCAGAAGAAGCACCGGCUAACUCCGUGCCAGCAGCCGCGGUAAUUC
This 406-nucleotide ribosomal RNA is filed under the name uncultured bacterium. Its description in RNAcentral is "partial 16S ribosomal RNA". It matches the Rfam family "Bacterial small subunit ribosomal RNA", at positions 30 to 526 of the family's 1533-position model. The record is from RNAcentral.